This 339-nucleotide unclassified non-coding RNA is filed under the name Hevea brasiliensis (rubber tree). Lineage: Eukaryota; Viridiplantae; Streptophyta; Magnoliopsida; Malpighiales; Euphorbiaceae. The record is from RNAcentral.
GGAAAAAGCUCGUAAAUCCGAGUAAGAAGAACUGGAUUUCUUGUGCUUAAAAACUCUAUUGUUUUUUUAUCUGAAUCUUUUGUUUAAUACAUGAAAUGACCCUAUUCUAGUGGUAGUCAUCUGGAAUAGUUUAUAGUGGCCUCACCAAUACGUAUAUAGGGCUUUCUUUAAAAAAUAAAAAUAAAAAAUUUAAGCCAGAGGUUUUUAAUGUUAGUGUCGACUGAUUAGGCUACAUGGUUGAAUUAUGUUUAGAGCAUCUGAACAAUAAUUUUUUGGAAUUGUUCAUACUUGUUUGAAUUGUGUCCUUCUUUUUGAAGGAACUAUAUUUUAGUUCUCAUU